This 279-nucleotide ribosomal RNA is filed under the name uncultured bacterium. RNAcentral describes it as "partial 16S ribosomal RNA". It matches the Rfam family "Bacterial small subunit ribosomal RNA", at positions 506 to 784 of the family's 1533-position model. The record is from RNAcentral.
UGCCAGCCGCCGCGGUAAUACGGAGGGGGUUAGCGUUGUUCGGAAUUACUGGGCGUAAAGCGCGCGUAGGCGGAUUGGAAAGUUAGAGGUGAAAUCCCAGGGCUCAACCCUGGAACUGCAUCCGAUACUGCCUUGCUAGAGGGCUGGAGGGGGGUCUGGAAUUCUCGGUGUAGCAGUGAAAUGCGUAGAUAUCGAGAGGAACACUAGUGGCGAAGGCGAGACCCUGGACAGAUCCUGACGCUGAGACACAAAGGCUAGGGUAGCGAACGGGAUUAGAUA